Molecule: ribosomal RNA, 419 nt
Filed under: uncultured Nitrososphaerota archaeon
Lineage: Archaea; Thermoproteati; Nitrososphaerota
Description: bacterial SSU rRNA
Rfam family: Archaeal small subunit ribosomal RNA
Source: RNAcentral
CAGCCGCCGCGGUAAAACCAGCACCUCAAGUGGUCAGGAUGAUUAUUGGGCCUAAAGCAUCCGUAGCUCGUUUUGUAAGUUUUCGGUUAAAUCCAUACGCUUAACGUAUGGGCUGCCGGGAAUACUGCAUAACUAGGAAGUGGGAGAGGUAGACGGUACUCGGUAGGAAGGGGUAAAUCCUUUGAUCUAUUGAUGACCACCUGUGGCGAAGGCGGUCUACCAGAACACGUUCGACGGUGAGGGAUGAAAGCUGGGGGAGCAAACCGGAUUAGAUACCCGGGUAGUCCCAGCUGUAAACUAUGCAAACUCAGUGAUGCAUUGGCUUGUGGCCAAUGCAGUGCUGCAGGGAAGCCGUUAAGUUUGCCGCCUGGGAAGUACGUACGCAAGUAUGAAACUUAAAGGAAUUGGCGGGGGAGCAC